This 497-nucleotide ribosomal RNA is filed under the name uncultured bacterium. RNAcentral describes it as "partial 16S ribosomal RNA". It matches the Rfam family "Bacterial small subunit ribosomal RNA", at positions 28 to 507 of the family's 1533-position model. The record is from RNAcentral.
GAUGAACGCUGGCGGCGUGCCUAAUACAUGCCAGUCGAGCGAACAGACGAGGAGCUUGCUCCUCUGACGUUAGCGGCGGACGGGUGAGUAACACGUGGAUAACCUACCUAUAAGACUGGGAUAACUUCGGGAAACCAGAGCUAAUACCGGAUAAUAUAUUGAACCGCAUGGUUCAAUAGUGAAAGACGGUUUUGCUGUCACUUAUAGAUGGAUCCGCGCCGCAUUAGCUAGUUGGUAAGGUAACGGCUUACCAAGGCAACGAUGCGUAGCCGACCUGAGAGGGUGAUCGGCCACACUGGAACUGAGACACGGUCCAGACUCCUACGGGAGGCAGCAGUAGGGAAUCUGCCGCAAUGGGCGAAAGCCUGACGGAGCAACGCCGCGUGAGUGAUGAAGGUCUUCGGAUCGUAAAACUCUGUUAUUAGGGAAGAACAAAUGUGUAAGUAACUAUGCACGUCUUGACGGUACCUAAUCAGAAAGCCACGGCUAACUACGUG